GUUUGUGGUAUUUAUUUCAGUUGUUUAACUUAUUUGUGAACUCUGAACACAAAAAAAAGUAGAUAAAAACAUAAAAAGAGUGCAAAAUGGGCUGUUUUAAUAGUCUAAGUCUAACGGUCAGUAUACGCAGCAGGUGAAAUGUGAAGUUCUAUGCACUUAAAAGUUGUAUUCCUAAACAGAUUGCACUGAAUCUAUAUAAAAAACACUUAUUACUGGUUGCUUAACCAUUUCUGUUUCACAGAUUACCUUUACUUUCUUCUUUUGGAUAGCUAGUGGUUAAAAUAUUGGCCUUUUGAGGCUGAAAUUUCAUUCAGGUUUUAAACAGUAAAGUUAAUAAACUUUGCAUCAGACCAUACUGUCUACAUAUAUAGUUGAAAGUGACAGUCUUGUUACAUCCAGGCUCCAUGUUUUAUCAUAUCUAAGCACAGAUUUAAGCAAAAAGAAGCAUAUCUCCAUCUCCCAUAUCAUUUAUAUGCUUUUUAAAUAUGCAAAUGUGGGGAACGGCCUAAAUUGACAACCUGUUUUUUUAAGCAUGACAUUGCUAAAGACCAUUUUAUCCACAUGUGUUAUGCUAUUUGAAACUUAUAUUUCCAUUAAAAGUACAUUUAUAACAUGUUAAAGUUUUUUUGAUACCUUAACAACUUCAGAAAAUUGUG
This 656-nucleotide long non-coding RNA is filed under the name Mytilus galloprovincialis (Mediterranean mussel). The record is from RNAcentral. Lineage: Eukaryota; Metazoa; Mollusca; Bivalvia; Mytilida; Mytilidae.